This 429-nucleotide ribosomal RNA is filed under the name Actinomycetes bacterium. Its description in RNAcentral is "Actinobacteria bacterium partial 16S ribosomal RNA". It matches the Rfam family "Bacterial small subunit ribosomal RNA", at positions 355 to 776 of the family's 1533-position model. Lineage: Bacteria; Bacillati; Actinomycetota; Actinomycetes. The record is from RNAcentral.
UAGGGAAUCUUCCGCAAUGGGCGAAAGCCUGACGGAGCAACGCCGCGUGAGUGAUGAAGGUCUUCGGAUCGUAAAACUCUGUUAUUAGGGAAGAACAAAUGUGUAAGUAACUAUGCACGUCUUGACGGUACCUAAUCAGAAAGCCACGGCUAACUACGUGCCAGCAGCCGCGGUAAUACGUAGGUGGCAAGCGUUAUCCGGAAUUAUUGGGCGUAAAGCGCGCGUAGGCGGUUUUUUAAGUCUGAUGUGAAAGCCCACGGCUCAACCGUGGAGGGUCAUUGGAAACUGGAAAACUUGAGUGCAGAGGAGGAAGGUGGAAUUCCAUGUGUAGCGGUGAAAUGCGCAGAGAUAUGGAGGAACACCAGUGGCGAAGGCGACUUGCUGGUCUGUAACUGACGCUGAUGUGCGAAAGCGUGGGGAUCAAACAGG